GAAGCGAAAAUGGCCGAAGGCACUCCGUUCGCGCCCCGCGCCGAGAGGCUGCCGGGAUCGCGGCGGACUCGGCGGGCGGGGCGGGCGGGAGCGGGGCGGGGCCCGGGGCAGGAUGGCGGCCCCGCGGCGAGGGAAAGCUUCCUCCACGGUGCUCUCGUCGCUCCCGCUGCAGAUGCUGCUCUGUUUGAGUGGAACGUACUACGCCCUGUAUUUCCUAGCUACGUUCCUGCUGCUCAUGUAUAAAAGUCAGGUUUUCACUUAUCCUCACAGUUGCCUGGUCCUCGACCUGACUCUGCUGUUUCUGAUGGGGAUUCUGGAAGCGAUUCGGUUAUACUUCGGGACCAUGGGCAACCUGAUGGAGGCUGAGGUGCCACUGGCCACCAGCCUGGUCCUCACCGUGGGCAGCGCCCUGCUGUCUGCCUACUUCCUGCUCUGGCAGACCCUGGUACUGCGUGCAGACUUGGCCCUCGGCGCCCCGCUCCUGGCAGUCCACGGCCUGGAGGCUGUCCUGCAGGUGGUGGCCAUUGCUGCCUUCGUCAGCUAGGUGCUGAGGAAAGGUGAUCUGGACGCUGCAGACCUGCGGGAGCUGGCGGCAGCGUUCUCUGGGGAUUUGUGCCAUUCACAGAUCCUCGAAUAAAGGAACGUUUAUACCUCCCUCAACUACUCCUGACUGAAGCCACCUGCCUCCAGGCUUCUCCCUCCACCCAGUUCAGGUCCAUCAGGGCCCAGGCCCAGCAGCUCUGGAGCAGCACUCCACCGGCCUGGGCCUCCUCGGGGUUGGCCUCAGAGAGGGGGGCCGAAUUAUCAUCCCACUGGUCUUGUCCUCAGGGCCGAGUGGGCGCGGGAGCGCCUCUCUGCCCCCUGACUCCUUGGGCUCAGCACCCGUGAGCACCUGUAACCCGAGGGCAGGCGAGGUGCCCUCCUGUGGAGCCCUCCUUGCGUCCAGCGGAGCCCCACCCCCUGCACCCCGCAUACGCUCCGGAAGCCUCCGAGGAUGCCACAGCCGCUCCCUGUGGCAAGAUGCCUUUCGGGUUUGCGACCCUCCCAAGGAUCUGGGCCAGGCCCUAGACACCCCCAUCGCUUUGGCCACAAGUCACUCCAUGUUGGAGGUAGCCACAGGCAGUCUGGGACUCGAGGCUCCCAGCAGCAUCCUUGAGGGGGUCAGUUCUCCUGCUCUGAAGAGCAGAGGGUGCCCACCUGGGCGGCUCCUUUCUCCCGUUUUGCCUGUUCAGGCUCAGCCUCCAGGAAGAGCGGGCGAGGGCAGGCUUCCCUUCCCCUCGGGGUUGUCAGCAGAUGGGGAGAAUCAGGAAGCCAGGGCUCAGGGGCAGGGCUGGGCCGGAGGAUGAAGCCACUCCCAGCGCCCCUGUGCAAGCUCGCCUGGAACCCCAGGCCGUGGGCAGGGAGGUCCCCACAGUGUGGGAAGGGGCAGUGCCACCGACAUUCCAGGACAGGGUGCCUCCUCCCCCGGGGCUUCCUGGCAAGCUGCCCAGCUCUCCUCGACCCUGGGACUCCGACGCCUCACACACGCUUUCCUGCUUCCCCCACCCAGAAACAGUAGGAGAGCCCUGGGGGUGCCUGCCUUCCUCUUCACUUCCUCUUCACCCAGCUUGGUGGGCAGCAGCAUCCUGGGGGGGUCAGCUCAGGAGGAGGAAAGACAACUACCGGCAGAGCUUGGGGCCUGGCCUGAGGCCAGGGGUUGCUGCCUGGAGCGCCUUCACACCGACUGCCUGGCCACUCAAGGACAGCCUGGGCCAUAGGCAUCCCAACCCCCGCCAAGGAACAACCCCACCCCUCACGGAGUGCCCACCUGGGCUGGGCAGCGUGAAGAAAGACUUAGGAGGACGCCUCUCCACCCCCCACCUGGCCGGCUCAGGGCACAGGACUGCAGGGUCUCUGGCCAAUGGCCCUACCUUGGAGACUCAUAGACUGAAACACGGCCCUGGCGCCCCCUCCAGACCAGAGCGGCACCAGGCGAAGAGAAUGGGCCUCGGUCCCCGAGUCCUGGGGCCCUGAGGCUGGGGGCACCUAGCAGGGGCACGUCUGCCCUCCCCGGGGAUCUGCAGGCAGCUCGGCCUGCCGGCAGGACCUCGAAACCUCAAGGUGCGCCCUCCUGCGCACCCCCGCGAGGGACGGGCUCGCGGCCCCGCCCGCGCGCCCACCGGCAGCCCCGCUCUCCGGGUGGGGUUUGCGCAGGUAGAAGGCGUGUGUGGUGGGGGCACUGUCCCGGGAGCCUCGGGGGCGGGGCAUUCGCGUGCCCCCGCCCCUGCCCAGGGCCAGCCCGCGCGAGGUGACUAACCUGCCGCUCAGGUUCCUCCCCGCGCCCCGCCCCGGCCCCUCCGCGCGCCCCUCCCUCCUUCCGAGCCAGGCACCGACAGACGGGCGGGCGGACGCGCGGACGAAGGGACCAGCGGACGGACGGCCAGGAGCGGGGCUGCGAGAAAAGCAGCCACCGGCGAGGACACCAUGAGCCAAGCAGGGUCCGUGAGCUGUUGCCCGGGUGCCGCCAAUGGCAGCCUGGGCCGGUCUGACGGUGUGCCCAAGAUGAGUGCCAA
Molecule: RNA transcript, 2552 nt
Organism: Bubalus bubalis (water buffalo)
Lineage: Eukaryota; Metazoa; Chordata; Mammalia; Artiodactyla; Bovidae
Gene: TMEM80
Gene name: transmembrane protein 80
Exons: 9
Source: RefSeq, a predicted model, not a curated record